AAGACUAUACUUUCAGGGAUCAUUUCUAUAGUUUGUUAAAAAAGUUUUUCUUUUUGUCUAUGUGAGAGAGAGAGAGGAGAGAGAGAGAGAGAGAGAGAGAGAGAGAGAGCAAGUGUGAGAUGGAGUGGGGGAAGAGGGUUUGUUUUUCUGAGGCCUUUCUCCAUGCCUUUUAGAUGUCCACCUUCUUGCUGUGUCCUCACAUUGUCUUCCUCUGUGUGA
Suricata suricatta (meerkat) is the source of this 219-nucleotide small nucleolar RNA. Its record names the gene U3. It matches the Rfam family "Small nucleolar RNA U3". Rfam says of the family: Small nucleolar RNAs (snoRNAs) are involved in the processing and modification of rRNA in the nucleolus. There are two main classes of snoRNAs: the box C/D class, and the box H/ACA class. U3 snoRNA is a member of the box C/D class. NCBI's taxonomy places the organism in Eukaryota, Metazoa, Chordata, Mammalia, Carnivora, Herpestidae. The record is from Ensembl.